AAUCACUUGUCUUUUAAAUGAAGACCUGUAUGAAUGGUGGAACGAGGGCUUAACUGUCUCCCUUUUCAAGUCAAUGAAAUUGAUCUCCCCGUGCAGAAGCGGGCAUGCCCAUACAAGACGAGAAGACCCUUUGGAGCUUAAGAUGUAAGAUCAACUAUGUUAAGAAUCACUUAAACUAAUUAAACUAAAUAGCAACUGAUCCCCAUCUUCGGUUGGGGCGACCACGGGAGAAAACAAAGCUCCCACGUGGACUGGGAUUUCCCCUAAAACUAAGAGAAACAUCUCUAAGUCACAGAACAUCUGACCAUAAAGAUCCGGCCACCGGCCGAUCAACGGACCAAGUUACCCUAGGGAUAACAGCGCAAUCCGCUUUCAGAGUCCAUAUCGACAAGGGGGUUUACCACCUCGGUGUUGG
This 415-nucleotide ribosomal RNA is filed under the name Mystus gulio (long whiskers catfish). RNAcentral describes it as "partial large subunit ribosomal RNA". It matches the Rfam family "Bacterial large subunit ribosomal RNA", at positions 1963 to 2535 of the family's 2925-position model. Lineage: Eukaryota; Metazoa; Chordata; Actinopteri; Siluriformes; Bagridae. The record is from RNAcentral.